This 328-nucleotide ribosomal RNA is filed under the name uncultured eukaryote. Its description in RNAcentral is "partial 18S ribosomal RNA". It matches the Rfam family "Eukaryotic small subunit ribosomal RNA", at positions 1470 to 1796 of the family's 1831-position model. The record is from RNAcentral.
CCCUUAGAUGUCCUGGGCCGAACGCGCGCUACACUGAUGCAUGCAACGAGUUUAUAACCUUGGCCUGAAAGGUCUGGGUAAUCUUUUGAACGUGCAUCGUGAUAGGGAUAGAUUAUUGCAAUUGUUAAUCUUGAACGAGGAAUUCCUAGUAAACGCGAGUCAUCAGCUCGCAUUGAUUACGUCCCUGCCCUUUGUACACACCGCCCGUCGCACCUACCGAUUGAAUGGUUCGGUGAAGAUCUCGGACUUCGAUAUUUAUUCUUUAUUGAGUUUAUAUUGUGGGAAGUUAUCUAAACCUCAUCAUUUAGAGGAAGGUGAAGUCGUAACA